This is a long non-coding RNA of Pyrus x bretschneideri (Chinese white pear), 1312 nucleotides long. RefSeq lists it as uncharacterized. Lineage: Eukaryota; Viridiplantae; Streptophyta; Magnoliopsida; Rosales; Rosaceae. The record is from RefSeq and is a predicted model, not a curated record. The transcript has 4 exons.
UUUGUACAAGAAGCUGAGAAUGCAGAAGCAAGAAGAAUAGGAGUCGAGAGUUUGAAGAAACAGGAAUCUUAUUUCACUUGCUGAGUUAGUUACAAUGGGAAUUACCAUAUGGCUUUUUAUAGUAACUUGGAAUGUUAAUGACUAAGUAACCGAGAUUGGAACAAUGCUGCAAAAAUGGAGGACCAUGAAGCCCCAUGUAAGCACAUAUGGAGAUGUACUCCACUUGCAAGUCUCCCUUAUGCACUCUUUCAGGAACAAAGUGGAAGUCAGUAUCCAAAUGCUUGAUUCUGGUAUGGAUGUAGAUGUCUCGUCUUACUUCUUGCCGUAGGACCAUGACUACUGCACCUUCGCCGCCUCCCCCACCUGCUACUAUUGCCGUGACUGCUCCAACGCAGGUGAACUCUAUGCUUUGCCCUCCGAUUAAUUCGGUUGGUCUCGGGUCGCCUAGGCACCGACGUCAAUGACGUCUUCAGUGGCGCUUCCCCUUAGCACGUGGCGAAGUCACCGACGCCCCCUGCACCCUUGACAAGACAUCGGCAUUGGCAUCCGCAUUGGUGGCUGAGGGCUCGCGGCCAGAAGAAGGCAAAAGCCGACAAGAUCAACUAGGACAAGAAGACUUUUCUCCACCACUCGAGUUCAAGGCCCUUAUCAUAUAGGAUGGAGGCGCGACAGGGGGGUUGAAAAUUACCUAGAUCGACUUCUUUAAGGAUGUUUAUGUUCGACCCGAGGAUGAGUUGGCCAAGCAAUUGCAUGCAACGUUGGUGGAGAAAAGCCAAUCCAUUAUUUAGGUGUCCACUUCCCAGCUUUCCCCUAACACCCUGGUCGAGUCUGUUGAUCCACCCGUGGAUGCGAGGUUUCUUUUACUGACAAAGACCAUGGAUCAGACCCUCAGUCGGAGGUAGAUGAAGUAUUGCAGGGGAAUGGGGCAUGCUCGUCAGUGUGAAACUGGGCCUCUUCAUCCAUGCAGUCAAAGGGCAAGGUCACAACAUUGACACAUGAAGUGGCUAACCUGAGAAGUAAGCUUGCGCUUAUCAUAGAGGCCCUCAGCUCGUCCUGCAUCCGUCUCCCACCAGGUUUUGUUGCCCUGUCCACCUUCGAGCCCCUCAACCCAGAGCAGACCUAGCACCCCGACCAGUAGACCUCCGAGCCCCUCUAGCCGCAAGACAUCCAACAGCCCGCCAUCUAUGGCCAAAUAGAUUUUCAAUACAUAUUUCAAUAGAUUUUCAUUUUCCUACUUGCAUAAAUCUUUUGUUUUAAUUUUUUAUUUAUUUUUAUAGUUACAAUUUAAUUAUUAUUUUAAAUGAAAAACGUA